UAUUUGCAGAAAGGAAUUGGUGAAAAUUGGGCCGCUGCCUUGGAACAUAACCCUGAAGCUUUUGCAAGGGUGGUUAUGUUGUAUGUGGACAUGGAGGUUAAUGGUUUCCCAUUAAAGGCAUUUGUUGACAGUGGAGCCCAAUCAACAAUAAUAUCAAAAAGUUGUGCUGAGCGUUGUGGGUAUGUACUGUUUUAUAUCUGAUUGCCUGUUGUUUAAUUCAGUCGGUGGUAAUAUCAUUUUUCAUUUUACUUGCUAUUUGACAUGGUUUAAUAACUUAGAAUA
Molecule: long non-coding RNA, 282 nt
Organism: Quercus lobata
Lineage: Eukaryota; Viridiplantae; Streptophyta; Magnoliopsida; Fagales; Fagaceae
Exons: 3
Source: RefSeq, a predicted model, not a curated record